AUUGAACGCUGGCGGAAUGCUUUACACAUGCAAGUCGAACGAUGAACCUUAGCUUGCUAAGGGGAUUAGUGGCGAACGGGUGAGUAAUAUAUCGGAACGUGCCUUGUAAUGGGGGAUAACUAGUCGAAAGAUUGGCUAAUACCGCAUACGCCCUGAGGGGGAAAGUAGGGGAUCUUCGGACCUUACGUUAUAAGAGCGGCCGAUAUCUGAUUAGCUAGUUGGUGGGGUAAUGGCCUACCAAGGCGACGAUCAGUAGCUGGUCUGAGAGGACGACCAGCCACACUGGAACUGAGACACGGUCCAGACUCCUACGGGAGGCAGCAGUGGGGAAUUUUGGACAAUGGGCGAAAGCCUGAUCCAGCCAUUCCGCGUGAGUGAAGAAGGCCUUCGGGUUGUAAAGCUCUUUCGCAAGGGAAGAAAACUUACAUUCUAAUAAAGCGUGAGGCUGACGGUACCUUGAUAAGAAGCACCGGCUAACUACGUGCCAGCAGCCGCGGUAAUACGUAGGGUGCGAGCGUUAAUCGGAAUUACUGGGCGUAAAGCGUGCGCAGGCGGUUUGGCAAGUCAGAUGUGAAAUCCCCGAGCUCAACUUGGGAACUGCGUUUGAAACUGCCAGACUAGAAUAUGUCAGAGGGGGGUAGAAUUCCACGUGUAGCAGUGAAAUGCGUAGAGAUGUGGAGGAAUACCAAUGGCGAAGGCAGCCCCCUGGGAUAAUAUUGACGCCCAUGCACGAAAGCGUGGGGAGCAAACAGG
Molecule: ribosomal RNA, 753 nt
Filed under: uncultured Methylophilaceae bacterium
Lineage: Bacteria; Pseudomonadati; Pseudomonadota; Betaproteobacteria; Nitrosomonadales; Methylophilaceae
Description: bacterial SSU rRNA
Rfam family: Bacterial small subunit ribosomal RNA
Source: RNAcentral